GAUGAACGCUGGCGGCGUGCCUAAUACAUGCAAGUCGAGCGAACAGACGAGGAGCUUGCUCCUCUGACGUUAGCGGCGGACGGGUGAGUAACACGUGGAUAACCUACCUAUAAGACUGGGAUAACUUCGGGAAACCGGAGCUAAUACCGGAUAAUAUAUUGAACCGCAUGGUUCAAUAGUGAAAGACGGUUUUGCUGUCCCUUAUAGAUGGAUCCGCGCCGCAUUAGCUGGUUGGUAAGGUAACGGCUUACCAAGGCAACGAUGCGUAGCCGACCUGAGAGGGGGAUCGGCCACACUGGAACUGAGACACGGUCCAGACUCCUACGGGAGGCAGCAGUAGGGAAUCUUCCGCAAUGGGCGAAAGCCUGACGGAGCAACGCCGCGUGAGUGCUGAAGGUCUUCGGAUCGUAAAACUCUGUUAUUAGGGAAGAACAAAUGUGUAAGUAACUAUGCACGUCUUGACGGUACCUAAUCAGAAAGCCCCGGCUAACUACGUG
This 497-nucleotide ribosomal RNA is filed under the name uncultured bacterium. RNAcentral describes it as "partial 16S ribosomal RNA". It matches the Rfam family "Bacterial small subunit ribosomal RNA", at positions 28 to 507 of the family's 1533-position model. The record is from RNAcentral.